AGUGAUCAGAAGUGAGAAUGUUGACAUGAGUAGCGACAAACAGGGUGAGAGACCCUGUCGCCGAAAGUCCAAGGGUUCCUGCUUAAAGCUAAUCUGAGCAGGGUAAGCCGGCCCCUAAGGCGAGGCCGAAAGGCGUAGUCGAUGGGAACCAGGUUAAUAUUCCUGGGCCAGGAGAUGGUGACGGAUCGCAGAGGUAGUUCUUCCUUAUCGGAUUGGAAGGGCUGCUGAGUGGUUCCUGGAAAUAGCCCUCCACAAGACCGUACCCUAAACCGACACAGGUGGACUGGUAGAGAAUACCAAGGCGCUUGAGAGAACCACAUUUAAGGAACUCGGCAAAAUACCUCUGUAAGUUCGCGAGAAGGAGGCCCCGUUUGUACGCAAGUAUGGGCGGGGGGCACAAACCAGGGGGUGGCGACUGUUUACUAAAAACACAGGGCUCUGCGAAGCCGUAAGGCGACGUAUAGGGUCUGACGCCUGCCCGGUGCCGGAAGGUUAAAAGGAGAUGUGCAAGCAUUGAAUUGAAGCCCCGGUAAACGGCGGCCGUAACGAUAACGGCCCUAAGGUAGCGAAAUUCCUUGUCGGGUAAGUUCCGACCUGCACGAAUGGCGUAACGACUUCCCCGCUGUCUCAAAUGUGGACUCAGCGAAAUUGAAUUGUCUGUGAAGAUGCAGACUUCCCGCGGUUAGACGGAAAGACCCCAUGCACCUUUACUAUAGCUUCGCACUGGCAUCAGGAUUGUGAUGUGCAGGAUAGGUGGUAGGCAUUGAAAUCGGGACGCCAGUUCCGGUGGAGCCUUCCUUGAGAUACCACCCUUCGCACUCUUGAUGUCUAACCGCGGCCCGUUAUCCGGGUCCGGACCCUGCGUGGUGGGUAGUUUGACUGGGGCGGUCGCCUCCCAAAAAGUAACGGAGGCGCGCGAAGGUUGGCUCAGAGCGGUCGGAAAUCGCUCGUUGAGUGCAAUGGCAGAAGCCAGCCUGACUGCAAGACUGACAAGUCGAGCAGAGACGAAAGUCGGCCAUAGUGAUCCGGUGGUCCCGAGUGGAAGGGCCAUCGCUCAACGGAUAAAAGGUACGCUGGGGAUAACAGGCUGAUGAUGCCCAAGAGUCCAUAUCGACGGCAUCGUUUGGCACCUCGAUGUCGGCUCAUCUCAUCCUGGGGCGGGAGCAGGUCCCAAGGGUACGGCUGUUCGCCGUUUAAAGAGGUACGUGAGCUGGGUUUAGAACGUCGUGAGACAGUUCGGUCCCUAUCUGCCGUGGGUGUAGGAUACUUGAGAGAGUUGCCCCUAGUACGAGAGGACCGGGGAGAACGUUCCACUGGUGGACCAGUUGUCGUGCCAACGGCAGUGCUGGGUAGCUAUGAACGGACAGGAUAAACGCUGAAGGCAUCUAAGCGUGAAGCCCCCCUCAAAACAAGGUAUCCCUUGAGAGCCGUGGAAGACCACCACGUCGAUAGGCCGGAGAUGUAAGUGCAGCAAUGCAUUCAGUUGACCGGUACUAAUGGCUCC
This 1504-nucleotide ribosomal RNA is filed under the name metagenome. Its description in RNAcentral is "bacterial LSU rRNA". It matches the Rfam family "Bacterial large subunit ribosomal RNA", at positions 1277 to 2911 of the family's 2925-position model. The record is from RNAcentral.